Molecule: long non-coding RNA, 763 nt
Organism: Rhodamnia argentea
Lineage: Eukaryota; Viridiplantae; Streptophyta; Magnoliopsida; Myrtales; Myrtaceae
Exons: 3
Source: RefSeq, a predicted model, not a curated record
UCUUCUUCCUCCAGUAGCCCUAUGCGCCGUGAGCUCUCUCCUCCCGAGCCUCCAUAGGUGCCAUGGCCGGACUUUGCCACGAGCGGGCGUUGGUCCGGUGUCACCUUAGCCGCGAGGACGACUCGAUCUCCUACCUUGACAUACUCCGAUGAAGCCGACGCCUGCGACUCCUCUUGCACCGCAAGCUGGUAGAUCCGGCCGAGCGAUGGAACCGGUUCCAUGGCGAGGAUUUGGCUGCGAAAAGCUUUUCUUCGGCUUCCUCCAAUUCGUUCCAUAGCGCGGAAAGCCGAUUGAAAAUUGUUGAAAUUGAGGAAUUGCCUUGCCCGAGCUCCGAUAGGGCUUCGGUUAUUGAGAAAAUCUUAGCCCUAUCGAGCUUCCCGUACAUUUCCCGGAUGUUUUCCCAAAAUUUUUUAGCGUCUUCGGUCGGAGGAAGUCCGACAGCAACUUCGGGGGUGAGGCAUUUGCCAAUCCAUGUUCGGACGAGCUGAUUGCACUUCCUCCAAGGACGUGCAAGCCGCUCAUCGACCGGAAUAGGGAUAGAACCAUCAAGAAACCCUUCUUUGUCCUUCGUCGUGAGUGCUCGCCGGAGCUCUCGACACCAGACGGAGUAGUUUUCUGGCCCUAAGAGUUGUGUAGAGAUUAGGCGAAGCUCGGGUCCGUCGGCGGCGAUCGUGUAUAGGGGAUCCCCGGGCUCCGGUCGACCGCCGGAGGUUCCCGCAAAGGAAAAAAAACCGAGUCCGAAACCGAGUAUGCCCAACCAGGU